CUUAGGUUGCUUCACCCGGGAGUCCAGGGAGACCUUCUGCAUGGAUACGGGGGCCUUCUGAGUCCCCAGAACACACUGCGGUGUCCUGUUCUCCCUCUGAGACCCCUGAAUGUUUUGAGAGUAAGUCAUGGCCAAGGAGAACGAAGGAGACCACUUUUAAGUAAGAACAGGAAAAACCAAGGCUCAUGGAAUGUGCUCUCCGAGGAGGAAGCCUUUUUUUAAGGGCCAUUGCUUCCCCGGCUCUGAACCUUAGAAGACACGUCAUGCUUUGUGAUUGCCCAAGGUUCCCUUUGGUACACACGUGAUGAAGCAUCUAAAUAUUUCUCAAGCACAGUGGUAGGCUCUGUGGCAGACAAAGCCUGUAGACUCUGGCGCCUUCUCUCAUGGAAUUUUCAGGCUACUGGAGUGACACAGAAAGAGGAAGAGCAGCUUUACACUGUGAUGGAUUCCACAGCUGCUCAGCAGAGACCACUUCCAUGUGCUACUUUUCUGGUCUUGUGACUAAAAUUCUUGACAGAAACAAAGGAGGAAACAAGUUAUUUUGACUCAUAGUUACUAAGCAUCACAGCAAAGAAGGAAUGGUGGAACUCUUGGCAUCAGGGGUAUGCGGAUGUGUUCUUCACAACACGAUGGACCAGGAAGUAGAAACUAGGACCAGAACCAGGGGUAGAUGUCUCCUUCCAAGACUUGUCCUUAGUGACCCACAUCUGACAUUCAGGUUACAUCUCCUAAAUAGUAGCAGAGUUUUGGGGAAUAGUCCAGAUUCAAGCUACAUAAGUUAAGACCAACAGAGUGAUGUGAAUAUUGGCCUCCAGUUAGGCUUUCUGCAGAAUUGAAGCUCUGAUCUGAAGUAUGGUGGGUAAAUAGAAUCACAUGGGUAAGAUUGGGGCUAAGGGGAGGUGGGCAGUUAGGAAUGAGGUGUUGUAGUGACAGAAGCAGACAGGAAAGCAGAUACCUUCAUGGGGAGAGUAAGUCUGGGGGAUGGACUGGAAUAGAGACAGUUGCUGGGUUUAACACUUCGACUUUGAUAAUGCUAUGUUGUGUUUCAUUGUUAUCCAAACUGACUAACGACUAUAUCAUGCUAGCAUCUUAAAAGCUAUAGAAAUAGAUCUAAGAGAGCUGCAUUUCUGAGAAAUAUGUUAAGGUGAAACAGUCUCCCACAUGUGUUCUCCUUAGCUACAUGGUAUCUAGAAACUCAAACAGUGGAAUUCAAGAGGGAAGGAAGCUAGGGAAGAUAGAGACAUGGAGACCCCUGGAGGUAUUUGCUCCAUUUACUGUAAUCGUUUCUGAUGGGCAAUAUGACCUUGGACAAACUGAUGGAUUAUCUAGACCUCAAUGCAUUAGUAAAAAGCAACUUCCUCACAGAGCCGUUGUGAUCAUUAAGUAUGUUAUGGCAUAAGGUUCUUAGAACAAGGCAUAUUGGCAACCUUCAAAUAGCUACCAUGAUCAACAUUCUUAUUUAUCAUUUAUAUAACCUAAGUCAUGGAUCUUAGAACCCUUGGGACUCUGUUAUGUGACAGACACAAUAUAACUUACCUUAUCUUCAUCAUCUCAUUUAAUAUUUUCAACUACUCUAUAAGUCAACUAUCCCCAGUCUGAUGUUCAAAUGAGGUAAUUCUCCUGCCUAAGGAUGAUGGCAGUGUGCAAAUCCAAAGCCAGAGUUUUCUUUUCUUCAACCCUACACAUGAGGACAAUGGCGCCCUGGUUCUUUACUUUGUUUUCCUUAGCUCUGUUUGGUAGUCUCAUUUUAGAACUGUGUGGUCAGCCUAGAAGUAUGAUCAGCUUAAAAAAAUCCUCCUAGGAAUUAUAUCAAUAAACAUGGCAUUGAGAAUUGGCCACCAUAACCAAAGGACAGCCAAAUAAAAAUUACCAACAUACCAUGCAUUCCAACAAACACAGCAAAUGUUUUGAGGAGCCUGGGCCUAUUCUGCUUUGCCACUAGGUGUAUGGACAGUGACAGAACCUAGCUCUCAUUCAGGAGGCUUACCUCAGGGCAUCAAAACUGACCAAGAUCCAACACAAAAAUCACAGAAUAUAGAUUUGACACACUAAGCUACCUAUAUCUAUAUAUAGAAGCCCGAUUACAGACCUUCAAGUUGCAUGAAAGUAGUCAAAAGUUUCUCUUACCUAAGAAUACAUUUUGGACUUCAUACAGAUUUAUGCACAUUAAUUAAAAUGGAGGAGGGACAAAGCAUGUAAAAACAUGUUACAAGUAGGUGGCCAUUAUUCUUUAGUCCUAUACAUAAAACAAUUUGUUUCUGGGAAGAGGACAUUAGUUCCUAUGGUGAUUUGAACAAGACUUGUUCCCCAUAGUCAUGGGUUCUUGAACAUUCAGCCCACAUUUGGGGUGUUGUUGGAGCUGGUGGUUCAGCCUUGUUGGAGGACAUAUGUCACCAGGGAUGAGCUUUGAGAGUUCAUAGCCUGGCCCCACUUCCAGUUUGUUCUUUCUGCCUUGUGCCUAUGGUUGUGAAUAUGAUCGCUCCACUUCCUGCUCCACCUGCUGCCAUGCUUUACCCACCAUUAUGGACUCUCCUUCUGGAACCAUAAGGCAAAAUAAACUCCUUUUCCAUUAGCAAAUUUCAGUCAUGGCACUUUAUACAGCAACAGAAAUGUAACUAAUGUAGUUCCCAGAAGGUUUUCAGAAAAUGAGCCCCAAUGCAAGUGGACACUGUUUUAAAAAAGAUAAAAAAGUUUAGAGGUGUUGUUUCAGAAGCCUGGUGGGAGACAGAGUCCUGAGAGUGGGAUGGAGUCUUUACUAACAGUCCCAGUAUAUUGUGAUGUCUCAAUCCCAUCCCAAACCCAGAAGAAGGCUGGAAUUUAGAAGUAUGCUCAUAUUGAGAAGUGAGAGAAGAUGUGUCUUUUUGGAUCAGGAGUUGGGUGGUCCCGUCUCUCCUUCCAGACAUAGAUUAACAAUGACUUAAUUCUAGAAAUAUUGUCAGCAAGUAAAAUAAAUAGACUAAUGGCUGUGGGCAAAUUGUAUGGUAAUGUGUCUAAGCAUUGUUUCCAGUCUGACCCUUAAAUAUACAUUAAAUCAAUCUAGAUGGAUGAGUCAUCCUGCUCUUAAUUAAUCUUUUCAGACAUUUAUAGAG
RNAcentral lists this long non-coding RNA (3089 nucleotides) under Cricetulus griseus (Chinese hamster). RNAcentral's name for it is "lncRNA (ENSCGRG00015030308.1)". Lineage: Eukaryota; Metazoa; Chordata; Mammalia; Rodentia; Cricetidae. The record is from RNAcentral.